RNAcentral lists this ribosomal RNA (1547 nucleotides) under Escherichia coli. RNAcentral describes it as "partial 23S ribosomal RNA". It matches the Rfam family "Bacterial large subunit ribosomal RNA", at positions 604 to 2136 of the family's 2925-position model. The record is from RNAcentral. Lineage: Bacteria; Pseudomonadati; Pseudomonadota; Gammaproteobacteria; Enterobacterales; Enterobacteriaceae.
CCUUUUGUAUAAUGGGUCAGCGACUUAUAUUCUGUAGCAAGGUUAACCGAAUAGGGGAGCCGAAGGGAAACCGAGUCUUAACUGGGCGUUAAGUUGCAGGGUAUAGACCCGAAACCCGGUGAUCUAGCCAUGGGCAGGUUGAAGGUUGGGUAACACUAACUGGAGGACCGAACCGACUAAUGUUGAAAAAUUAGCGGAUGACUUGUGGCUGGGGGUGAAAGGCCAAUCAAACCGGGAGAUAGCUGGUUCUCCCCGAAAGCUAUUUAGGUAGCGCCUCGUGAAUUCAUCUCCGGGGGUAGAGCACUGUUUCGGCAAGGGGGUCAUCCCGACUUACCAACCCGAUGCAAACUGCGAAUACCGGAGAAUGUUAUCACGGGAGACACACGGCGGGUGCUAACGUCCGUCGUGAAGAGGGAAACAACCCAGACCGCCAGCUAAGGUCCCAAAGUCAUGGUUAAGUGGGAAACGAUGUGGGAAGGCCCAGACAGCCAGGAUGUUGGCUUAGAAGCAGCCAUCAUUUAAAGAAAGCGUAAUAGCUCACUGGUCGAGUCGGCCUGCGCGGAAGAUGUAACGGGGCUAAACCAUGCACCGAAGCUGCGGCAGCGACGCUGAUGCGUUGUUGGGUAGGGGAGCGUUCUGUAAGCCUGCGAAGGUGUGCUGUGAGGCAUGCUGGAGGUAUCAGAAGUGCGAAUGCUGACAUAAGUAACGAUAAAGCGGGUGAAAAGCCCGCUCGCCGGAAGACCAAGGGUUCCUGUCCAACGUUAAUCGGGGCAGGGUGAGUCGACCCCUAAGGCGAGGCCGAAAGGCGUAGUCGAUGGGAAACAGGUUAAUAUUCCUGUACUUGGUGUUACUGCGAAGGGGGGACGGAGAAGGCUAUGUUGGCCGGGCGACGGUUGUCCCGGUUUAAGCGUGUAGGCUGGUUUUCCAGGCAAAUCCGGAAAAUCAAGGCUGAGGCGUGAUGACGAGGCACUACGGUGCUGAAGCAACAAAUGCCCUGCUUCCAGGAAAAGCCUCUAAGCAUCAGGUAACAUCAAAUCGUACCCCAAACCGACACAGGUGGUCAGGUAGAGAAUACCAAGGCGCUUGAGAGAACUCGGGUGAAGGAACUAGGCAAAAUGGUGCCGUAACUUCGGGAGAAGGCACGCUGAUAUGUAGGUGAGGUCCCUCGCGGAUGGAGCUGAAAUCAGUCGAAGAUACCAGCUGGCUGCAACUGUUUAUUAAAAACACAGCACUGUGCAAACACGAAAGUGGACGUAUACGGUGUGACGCCUGCCCGGUGCCGGAAGGUUAAUUGAUGGGGUUAGCGCAAGCGAAGCUCUUGAUCGAAGCCCCGGUAAACGGCGGCCGUAACUAUAACGGUCCUAAGGUAGCGAAAUUCCUUGUCGGGUAAGUUCCGACCUGCACGAAUGGCGUAAUGAUGGCCAGGCUGUCUCCACCCGAGACUCAGUGAAAUUGAACUCGCUGUGAAGAUGCAGUGUACCCGCGGCAAGACGGAAAGACCCCGUGAACCUUUACUAUAGCUUGACACUGAACAUUGAGCCUUGAUG